AGCGAACGCUGGCGGCAGGCCUAACACAUGCAAGUCGAACGGACCCUUCGGGGUUAGUGGCGGACGGGUGAGUAACACGUGGGAACGUGCCUUUUGGUUCGGAACAACUCAGGGAAACUUGAGCUAAUACCGAAUGUGCCCUUCGGGGGAAAGAUUUAUCGCCAUUAGAGCGGCCCGCGUCUGAUUAGCUAGUUGGUGGGGUAAUGGCCUACCAAGGCUACGAGCAGUAGCUGGUCUGAGAGGGUGAUCAGCCACAUUGGGGCUGAGACACGGCCCAAACUCCUACGGGAGGCAGCAGUGGGGAAUCGUGCGCAAUGGGCGAAAGCCUGACGCAGCCAUGCCGCGUGAAUGAUGAAGGGCUUAGGAUUGUAAAAUUCUUUCACCGGGGACGAUAAUGACGGUACCCGGAGAAGAAGCCCCGGCUAACUUCGUGCCAGCCGCCGCCGUAA
Molecule: ribosomal RNA, 449 nt
Filed under: uncultured bacterium
Lineage: Bacteria
Description: partial 16S ribosomal RNA
Rfam family: Bacterial small subunit ribosomal RNA
Source: RNAcentral